CUGCCCUUGCUGCCGUUCAUCAGUGCCACGAUUUGAUAAAUGCUCCUCAUGUAUUGCAAAAUUCUUGAAACCCAAUUUAUUGUUGUAACCGUUGGAAUGUGAAAACAAUCAACAAUCAUUAUUACUUGAUUUAAUUUCAUUUGAAGCCAUUCGUUUGCCAAAUCUUUAAAACCCUUCAUAUCAUUAUUGUUUUCUUUAUUUAAUUUCUAUGUUUCUCUAGAAGCCAGCGACCAGUCAUCGCACAACCACCAUCAAAUGCCGCACACUGUUGAUUCUCCGCCAAGUCGGCUCUGGUGGAUAGAACGAACGACGAAACGAGACCUGCCGAGAUGCGUGACAACGGCAUCCCACAAUUUUGGAUCACCAGAAACAUGUUUAGUUCAUGUGGGAUUGGAAUUGCAUUCUUUCAUAUGAUCCUUGAUCUUCCGCUCGCACUUGUAAAUACGCUUACCGCCCGGUUAAAUGAUGGGUAUGGUGUCCAUCGCGAUGAUUUGAAGUAAUACUUGAACGAUUUUACAUGCAUACUUCAUAGUGGAAAGUAAUUGUUGAACAAAUUUUUGGUUAUUGCAGCUACACUGUAUCUGCAUUUUGCCACAUCAGUCAUUAUUCAUGAAAUAACAACAUCUCUUGGAAUCUACUGUUUUAGGAUAAGAAUUGCAAAGAAAAAGGCCUGAGACAUGUUCAUGUUCGAUAUGAAGGUUACUACCAGCUCACAAAUUGGAAUUGGAUAUAUCUAAUAUACCCGAGUUUUGUGACCGGUUUCGUAUCUGUUGUUACAGAUUCGGCUGAUCGGAAUCAAGGGUUUCAAAUAAAGUGGUGGAACUUGCAUUAGUUAAUAGACCAAAGAGUCAAAGUGGGAUUCAAGGAAACUUUGGGGGUGGUUUUUUGAGUCUUCGACUUGGAGGUAGUGAAGAAUCGGUGUCUACUUCACCUUGCGUCAUGGAUUUAUAGCGGAUUGAAUCAAGGUGAUACUGCUCUUCCAUUAAAGGGUUGGCCUUUGAGUGGAAUGGACGAUUUACACCCUAAUAUGGGUUUGCAAGUACAAAAGCUCAAUAUGCAGAAUCAACAUCAGUUCUAUUUGCCUUGAAACAUGCCCAGGCCCAAGGUAAUAUUGUAACUUCACCAAAUUAUGGGCUUGUUGGAUUAUCUAGAGGCAGUCUAAGUAUGAAAGAUGGUCAAACCACAAGAAAUGAUGGAUCCCCUGGUCAAAUGAAUUCACCCCAGGUUAGGAUUUUCUUUUUAUGAUCUAAUUCUUGGUUCUCUGUGUUAUUAUAACAUCUCUCUUUUAUCUACACAAUCCCCAACAAGACCACUUUAAUCUGUACUUCUGUUCAAAUAUCUGGCUAUUGAUAAUAAGAGGGGUUCGUUUAUGUAGUACAAUAAUUAGGGCUUAAAAUAAGAUAUCAGUUACAACGGUUGAAUUAGCUGUAUGUGUAACUUAUUGCCAUCUGGGGUUAAGCCAACUUCACUUGGUUGUGUAUGCUUGACUGCAAGCCUUGAUAUAGAGGCUGCAAAUUCGGUGGGUUUUGAUAACAGAUCAAAAAAGAAAGUUUUAGGAUGGACAACAAAUUGUGUGGGUUCCAUGAGCUUCCUUUUGGUUUCCUCUAAAGAAGGCCUUUGUGCUGCAAAACUUCAUAGCUGUAGAGCAAAUAAGUGGUCAAUUGGACUAAAUUAACUUUAAAAGUAAAUUGAUAAAUAACUAGAGACAUGAACAAUUGUUAAGAGUCGAAUAAAGUAAUAAACUACUGGGAAUAUAAAAAGUCAAAGUUUUAAAGUAGGACAGGAACCAGUUCAUGUUUGUCAACUGUCCUGUUGUCUUCUUGUGACUUUUGAAACUUAGAUGUGGAUAUUUCUAUAACUUGAUCAACUAUAUAGACAGUUGCCCAAGAGUUUCAAUUGAAUAUCCAUAUGGAGCACCACCACAAGCUUACCAAAAAAAAUACGAUGUGCAGUAAUAGGUGUUUUUUUUUGAAACAAUGAUGUAGUAUCAUAGUGUGGAUUGCACCAUUUGAUCCAACUAAGAAGGAGGAGGAGGUUAUUCAAGAUGUAAACUUUAAGUACUUUUUAAAAUUCCUUUUUUACUAAGAUAAUGCGAUUAGUGAUCCGAUCCUCUUUGUAUUAACUAUGAACUUAAUAACAAGCAUUAAAUAGUGUGAUUAUAUAAACCAUUAAAAGUACUUUAACGAACCACUAACCCGUAACUUAGGAAUUACACUACAUCAGUUUAUGAGCAGCAUCUGGUUAUGAGCCCGUAAAAUAUCACGAUCAAUGGCCCUUCAAAGGAGUAUUUGGAAUUCAGGAGCCUGCUUUUGUCGCGUUUUCUGCACUUAACCUUGCAAUGCAUUUUCAUGGGUGGUUAUCGUUCUUCAUCCUCUUGCAUUACAAGCUGCCGGUGAAAGCAGAUAAAAAGCCGUACUAUGAGUAUGCUGGUCUAUGGCAUCUAUAUGCGCUCCUAGCCAUCAUUUGACGCCUCUACCCUUGAGAAAUCGGUGCCUCCAGGGUAUCUGAAAUUCAUUAGUAAUUUGGAAAAUGAGAUUUUAAAUGCGUCGAUGGAGAAGGAGAUUUUGAAGAUUGAAGUGAUGCGAGCCCAACCGAUGAUCAACAUUCUUCAGUAACAUUCUUCAGUGACUGCUUGACUGAAGAGAAUAAUGAAUUGAGGAAGGGUGUUUAGGUAAUUACAGCUCUAUACUUGUGUUCAUUAUUACUUUAACCAUGUAGCUAAUGAACACAACAAGGUUAUGGGGAAAGGGCCAUUUCUAGGUAACAUGACUCUUUAUCGCUUAUUUUCCUUAGAGAUCUUAGUCAAAUAAAGUCUUAUGUCAAGACCUUCUCCUGUUAGAAGCUGUGGAAAUGCUGUUAGAGUCGGUUAGUGCUGUUAAUCUAUGGUUAGAAGAGAUUAGUUCUGCUCUGUGUUUACAAGCAUAUUUGACAAACAAAAGAUAAUAAAGAGAAACAGGCGUUAUUCUUCCUUCCGUGAGCCACGCAACGGGCGUGAUAGAUAAUAAAGAGUCGUUGGGCUCCUUGACCAACAGUAAAAGGCUUAACAUUGUUGCAUAACUCAAUUAAUAAAGGAGCAUAUGUUUAUUUUUCAUGCAAUUAUUUUGCUAAAUUUAUGUAUUGUCAUGAAGUGCGGUGCUUAUACACAUAUACACAACUUAUAUAUGACUUAUUUAUCGUUUUAAGGUUUGAUUUAUA
This is a long non-coding RNA of Helianthus annuus (common sunflower), 3195 nucleotides long. RefSeq lists it as uncharacterized. NCBI's taxonomy places the organism in Eukaryota, Viridiplantae, Streptophyta, Magnoliopsida, Asterales, Asteraceae. The transcript has 9 exons. The record is from RefSeq and is a predicted model, not a curated record.